This 426-nucleotide long non-coding RNA is filed under the name Pan troglodytes (chimpanzee). Its description in RNAcentral is "lincRNA". Lineage: Eukaryota; Metazoa; Chordata; Mammalia; Primates; Hominidae. The record is from RNAcentral.
UUGCCAAGUUUUUCAGGAAGUGCUGGUGGCCAUUUUGAUGAUGUGAACUAGACUUUAAAACAGAAAGAGGAAAAAUGAAUGUGGUGGACAAGGGCUGCUGACAAUAUUAGAUAGAAUCAGAGAUGGAGUCUCACUAUGUUGCCCAGUCUGGACUUGAAGUCUUGGCCUCAAGCAAACCCCCUUGCGUCAGCCUCUGAAAGUGCUGGGAUUACAGGCAUGAGCUACCGUGCUUGCCUUCUCCUUCUCCUUCUCCUUCUUCUCCUCCUCCUCCUCCGUCUUCUUCAUUGUUAAUUUUAGGUGCAGCAACUCCAUCCAGGGGAUAAAAGAUUUAUUUAUUUUAUUUUAUCAUUUUUUAAAAUUUAUUUUUUCGAGAUGGAGUCUCGCUCUGUCUCCCAGGCUGGAGUGCAGUGGUACGAUCUCGGCUCA